ACAAAAGGAGAGGGAAGGAAAGAGUCCGCCCAAGCAAGCAACCGCGACGGCGCGCAGCGCAGCGCAGCUGGCAAUCGCCAUCUCUUUCUUUCCCGUAUAUAUUCAGCUCCAUUUCCGGGGCGCAGCAAAGUCACAGGAUUCCUCCCUCCCUCCCUCUCCCCCGAUCUCCACCCCCCAUAUAUAUUGGCCCCCUCUCUCUCUCUUCCUCCCCGCGUAGCUAGCACCCCUGUUACGGAGCUCCGGUUGGUUGAUGCGCGGAGGCUGCCAUGGCGGUGUCGUCCCCCGCUCCGGAGCCGCCGAGGAGGAGGAACAAGUGUGGCGCCGCGGCAACCGAAAGGUGAUCAACGGCUACAUCGGCGAGGCGCGGGCGGCCCUCGCGGCCGCGGCGGCGCGGGACGGCGACGGCGGGGAUGACUCGGCCGCGGCGGCCGCGCUCGGCCUGGUCGGCGCGGUGCUGGAGAUGUCGCCCCGCAUGGAGGCCGCGCUCGAGCUCCGGGCGCGCGCGCUGCUCGCGCUCCGCCGCUACCGGGACGUCGCGGAGAUGCUCCGCGACUACAUUCCCAGCUGCGCCAAGUCCUGCGCCGGGGACGACACCGCCACCUCCUCCUCGUCGACGUCCUGCUCCUCCGGCUCCGGCGACCUCGCCUGCGCGUCCCGCGCGGGGCUUCUUUCCCCGGGCCGCGAGCUCUCCGUCUCCGGCGCCGGGGCCUCCCGGUUCCUCUGCUGCCUCGACGUCUCCGAGAUUAAGCGCCGCGUCGUCGCCGGCCUCUCCAGGAGCUCCGAGGCCGAGACCCAGUGGAGGUACUUGGUCUUGGGUCAGGCUUGCUUCCAUCUCGGCUUGAUGGAGGACGCCGUGGUGCUUCUCCAGACCGGCCGCCGCCUCGCCACGGCCGCGUUCCGUCGCGAGAGCGUGUGCUGGUCCGAGGACAGCUUCUCGCCGUCCAACUCGACGGCCAAUGUGCCUGCCGCCAGCAGACGGGCGCCGUCCAAGUACAGCCAGGCGUCCGGGAUGCCCCCGGCGAGCGAGGCGGACUCGGUGUCACAGCUGCUGGCGCACGUGAAGCUCCUGCUCCGCCGCCGCGCCGCCGCGGUGGCCGCGCUGGACGCGGGCCUCCCCGCCGAGGCCGUGCGCCAUUUCAACAAGGUGCUCGACGCGCGCCGCGGCGGCGUGCUCCCGCACUCCUUCGCCACGGCCUGCCUGGUGGGCCGCGCCGCGGCGUUCCGCGCGUCCGGGCGGCCCGCCGACGCCAUCGCCGACUGCAACCGCGCGCUGGCGCUCGACCCGGCCUUCAUCCCGGCGCUGCGCGCGCGCGCCGACCUGCUCGAGUCCGUGGGCGCGAUCCCCGACAGCCUCCGCGACCUGGACCACCUGAAGCUCCUCUACGACGCGGCGCUCCGCGACGGGAAGCUGCCGGGCCCGAGCUGGCGGCCGCAGGGCGGCGUCCGGCAGCGCGAGAUCGCCGGGGCGCACCGCGAGCUGGUGGCCCGCGUCCAGCAGCUCCGAGCCCGCGUGGCCGCCGGCGACGGGUGCAACGUGGACUACUACGCGCUCCUCGGGGUGCCGCGCGGCUGCGCGCGGUCGGAGGUGGUGCGCGCGCACCUGCUGCUGACGCUGAAGCUGAAGCCGGACCGGUCGGCGUCGUUCGCGGAGCGGCUGGAGCUGGUGGACGAGCACCGCGACCUGGACGCCGUGCGCGACCAGGCCCGCAUGUCGGCCCUCUUCCUCUACCGGAUGCUGCAGAAGGGCUACUCGCACAUCAUGUCCGCCGUGCUGGACGAGGAGGCCGCCGCGCGGCAGAGGGCCAGAGAAGACGCCGCCGCCGCCGCAUUGGCCGCCACCGUCGCCGCCGCCGCAGCGUCGGCGACCAAGCAAGCAGAAGAAGAAGCCGCAGCGUCAGCGACCAUGCAACAACAAGAAGAAGAAGAACUGGCAGCCGUGCCGGAGAGCCCCAAGCCAGAGCGUGUCAACAUCCCGGUGCAGGUCGCGGAGCCGGAAACGAUCGCACCACCGUCACCGCCGACGCCGAGGCUGAGCGCGGCGGCGAUGAGCCCGAUGUUCCAGGGCGCGUUCUGCCGCGACAUGGCGGUGGUCGGGACGCUGCUGUCCCGCGGCCGGUUCGACCGGCCGCCGAUGGCGGUCAAGUGCGAGGCGAUGAGCUGCUGAUCGUCGUGCCAGACGGCGAUAUCUCGACAGCAACGGCGGGUAGCGGGAAAACGGAGAGGAAGUUCGAAGAGGUCGCGUUCAAAACCAAAAAUUCGAGGAGCUGGAUCGGUGAACACCCGGUGCCGCCAUGCGUGGCAGCAGCGGCAGUAGUGUACAGUCUGAGAGGUCGUUUUCCAUUGGAAAACCAAAAAAAAAAGGAGGAGCAAGUGUAGCAGUACUAGUAAAGUUUUGGUUUCGUCUCGA
This is an RNA transcript of Aegilops tauschii subsp. strangulata, 2407 nucleotides long. RefSeq lists it as uncharacterized. The record is from RefSeq and is a predicted model, not a curated record. Lineage: Eukaryota; Viridiplantae; Streptophyta; Magnoliopsida; Poales; Poaceae.